UCCCUGGGCAAUCUUUGCUCCGUGAUGUACACCAAGAUCUCAGAGAUAGAUCUGAUUUCCUUUUGCCACUGAACAUGAAGGAUAAGACAAGGCAAAGGUUUAUUCAGCUACAGUAGCAUUCAAUGCAAACACAGCUUGAAGUGUAAUGGCAGAGUAGUAGGUGGGUAGAUGUGCACUAAUAUUGACCUUCUUUCUUUACCACAGGAUUAUUCUGGGACUGUGUGGACCAGAUACGCACUUCAUGCAGCCCAGGUCCGCAUCUACCCUCAUCUGAAGUCACCUUUCCAGGGACCAGCCCAUUACCUGUCCAGACGAGGUUUCAUCAGUGCUUGCUACCAGACUUGCUGCUUCCUGUAUUGCUUCCUGCAGAUGCCUGGGCUGGAGAUUAAUGGGAUUUCUCACCUGGAGUGCAAGAAAUACUUAGGAUUUUGUUGCCACCUCAAAUGUGGUAAUGAAUUGCAAUACAUUCAUACCCAUCUUCCAUUCUGCUGUUGUUCCUACGCUGAAAUGUGUCAGCACUAUUUUGGGGGCAAUACCUAGAUUACCUUUGCUCUUGACCCCAUCCUUCCUGCAUAGCAGGCCAUUUUUAUUCUUGUUCUCCUUUUAUUUAUAUUGUUAAAAAAAGUCUUUUACCCCUUAAUAUCCUUUGGCAAAUUCUAACUCAGCUUGACUUUUGAGCAGUUUUUCACGUACUUGCAGUAUGCUUUUUUCAACCCGUUAGAUUGCAAUUCUUCCUUUCGUUUCCCCGCUGGUUCGGUUACAGAUUCCAGGCUGAUUUUUCACCUUUGAAUUAAAGCAGUUAGCCCUGUAUUGCAUUUACAUUCCUGAGUUUGUCACUUUAAUUUGAUCAUAUUAACUGGUUUCCUCCAUUCUCAGAUUGAGUUUGCCUUUGAUUUUGAUCUGUUCUUCUCUUCCCAUUUAAUUGACACUGGUGUUUUGACUGGUCUGAUUUUCUACUACCAUCUUUUUAAUAGCAAUCAAAAGCCGCUGCAAAGUAUUAUUGUCUUCCAUUAUUACAUAUGACACUUGCUGAAGAUUUUCUCUAAACAUCCAUGCAAUUUCUGACCAUGCUUUUUUUUUUCUCUCAAAAUAAUUAGUUUUAAUAUAUAUAAUAUAUACAUGUAAAAUAAAUAAUAAACAAUGAUGAUUUUACA
RNAcentral lists this long non-coding RNA (1154 nucleotides) under Anas platyrhynchos platyrhynchos (common mallard). Its description in RNAcentral is "lncRNA (ENSAPLG00000030403.1)". Lineage: Eukaryota; Metazoa; Chordata; Aves; Anseriformes; Anatidae. The record is from RNAcentral.